Molecule: unclassified non-coding RNA, 518 nt
Filed under: Hevea brasiliensis (rubber tree)
Lineage: Eukaryota; Viridiplantae; Streptophyta; Magnoliopsida; Malpighiales; Euphorbiaceae
Source: RNAcentral
AGUGAAGCGGUCACUGGAAUCGGCAGCGGCGGAGAUCCUCCCCACCGCCUCCCUCGACGCCCUUCCCACUAAAUUCUACCAAGCUUUCGUCCUCCAAGGCCUCCGCGUCGACACCGUCGAGCCCGGCCGCCUCCUCUGCGCCCUCACCAUCCCUGCCCGCCUCCUCAAUACCGGCGGAUUCUUGCACGGCGGCGCCACCGCGUCGCUGGUGGAUCUGGUCGGGUCUGCGGCUUUUUAUACGGCUGGGGCGAAGACGAGUGGUGCGCCGGUGGAAAUUAGUAUAUCUUACCUCGAUGCGGCCUUCCUCCAUGAGGACAUAGAGAUCGAGGCCAAAGUCUUGCGAGCUGGAAAGGCUGUCGGGGUCACCAUGGUAGAGCUGAGGAAGAAGACUGGGAAGAUAAUUGCUCAGGGACGUCUUACUAAAUAUCUUGGUGUAACUAGCAAACUGUGAAUUUAUGUAUCAGUUACUGAAGCAUGAAUUGCAUGGUCACCGCAAUAAAAGGCUUAAUGUGCUUCCG